GACGAACGCUGGCGGCGUGCUUAACACAUGCAAGUCGAACGGAAAGGCCCCUUCGGGGGUACUCGAGUGGCGAACAGGUGAGUAACACGUGAGUAACCUGCCCUUGACUUCGGGAUAACUUCAGGAAACUGGGGCUAAUACCGGAUAGGAAUUCUUGCUGCAUGGUGGGGGUUGGAAAGCUUCGGCGGUUUUGGAUGGACUCGCGGCUUAUCAGCUUGUUGGUGGGGUAGUGGCUUACCAAGGCUUUGACGGGUAGCCGGCCUGAGAGGGCGACCGGCCACAUUGGGACUGAGAUACGGCCCAGACUCCUACGGGAGGCAGCAGUGGGGAAUAUUGCACAAUGGGCGGAAGCCUGAUGCAGCAACGCCGCGUGCGGGAUGACGGCCUUCGGGUUGUAAACCGCUUUCAGCAGGGGCGAAGCUUGUGGUGACGGUACCUGCAGAAGAAGCACCGGCUAACUACGU
This 464-nucleotide ribosomal RNA is filed under the name uncultured bacterium. Its description in RNAcentral is "partial 16S ribosomal RNA". It matches the Rfam family "Bacterial small subunit ribosomal RNA", at positions 28 to 506 of the family's 1533-position model. The record is from RNAcentral.